Pteronotus mesoamericanus is the source of this 402-nucleotide non-coding RNA. The record is from the annotation of a RefSeq genome assembly. Lineage: Eukaryota; Metazoa; Chordata; Mammalia; Chiroptera; Mormoopidae.
AUGGCCUGGACUCCUCUCCUCCUCGUGUUCCUCUCUCAGUGCACAGGUUCCCUCUCGCAGCCUGUGCUGACCCAGCCGCCCUCCCUCUCUGCGUCUCCGGGAGCAACGGCCAGACUCACCUGCACCCUCAGCAGUGACAUCAGUGUUGGCAGCUACUACAUAUCCUGGUACCAGCAGACGCCAGGGAGCCCUCCCCGAUAUCUGCUGAACUACAAGUCAGACUCAGACAAGGGUCAGGGCUCCGGGGUGCCCAGCCGCUUCUCUGGGUCCAAAGACGCCUCGGCCAAUGCCGGGCUCCUGCUCAUCUCUGGGCUGCAGCCUGAGGACGAGGCCGACUAUUUCUGUGCUGCAGGUAGUGGCAGUUGGAGCAGUAACAGUUUCUCACAGUGUCUCAGACGAUGA